Molecule: ribosomal RNA, 2816 nt
Filed under: Klebsiella pneumoniae
Lineage: Bacteria; Pseudomonadati; Pseudomonadota; Gammaproteobacteria; Enterobacterales; Enterobacteriaceae
Description: partial 23S ribosomal RNA
Rfam family: Bacterial large subunit ribosomal RNA
Source: RNAcentral
GGUUAAGCGACUAAGCGUACACGGUGGAUGCCCUGGCAGUCAGAGGCGAUGAAGGACGUGCUAAUCUGCGAAAAGCGUCGGUAAGGUGAUAUGAACCGUUAUAACCGGCGAUGUCCGAAUGGGGAAACCCAGUGCAAUUCGUUGCACUAUCGUUAACUGAAUACAUAGGUUAACGAGGCGAACCGGGGGAACUGAAACAUCUAAGUACCCCGAGGAAAAGAAAUCAACCGAGAUUCCCCCAGUAGCGGCGAGCGAACGGGGAGCAGCCCAGAGUCUGAAUCAGCUUGUGUGUUAGUGGAACGGUCUGGAAAGUCCGACGGUACAGGGUGAUAGUCCCGUACACCAAAAUGCACAGGCUGUGAACUCGAAGAGUAGGGCGGGACACGUGGUAUCCUGUCUGAAUAUGGGGGGACCAUCCUCCAAGGCUAAAUACUCCUGACUGACCGAUAGUGAACCAGUACCGUGAGGGAAAGGCGAAAAGAACCCCGGCGAGGGGAGUGAAAAAGAACCUGAAACCGUGUACGUACAAGCAGUGGGAGCACCUUCGGGUGUGACUGCGUACCUUUUGUAUAAUGGGUCAGCGACUUAUAUUCUGUAGCAAGGUUAACCGUAUAGGGGAGCCGCAGGGAAACCGAGUCUUAACUGGGCGUUAAGUUGCAGGGUAUAGACCCGAAACCCGGUGAUCUAGCCAUGGGCAGGUUGAAGGUUGGGUAACACUAACUGGAGGACCGAACCGACUAAUGUUGAAAAAUUAGCGGAUGACUUGUGGCUGGGGGUGAAAGGCCAAUCAAACCGGGAGAUAGCUGGUUCUCCCCGAAAGCUAUUUAGGUAGCGCCUCGUGAAUUCAUCUUCGGGGGUAGAGCACUGUUUCGGCUAGGGGGUCAUCCCGACUUACCAACCCGAUGCAAACUACGAAUACCGAAGAAUGUUAUCACGGGAGACACACGGCGGGUGCUAACGUCCGUCGUGAAGAGGGAAACAACCCAGACCGCCAGCUAAGGUCCCAAAGUCAUGGUUAAGUGGGAAACGAUGUGGGAAGGCACAGACAGCCAGGAUGUUGGCUUAGAAGCAGCCAUCAUUUAAAGAAAGCGUAAUAGCUCACUGGUCGAGUCGGCCUGCGCGGAAGAUGUAACGGGGCUAAACCAUGCACCGAAGCUGCGGCAGCGACACUAUGUGUUGUUGGGUAGGGGAGCGUUCUGUAAGCCUGCGAAGGUGUGCUGUGAGGCAUGCUGGAGGUAUCAGAAGUGCGAAUGCUGACAUAAGUAACGAUAAAGCGGGUGAAAAGCCCGCUCGCCGGAAGACCAAGGGUUCCUGUCCAACGUUAAUCGGGGCAGGGUGAGUCGACCCCUAAGGCGAGGCCGAAAGGCGUAGUCGAUGGGAAACAGGUUAAUAUUCCUGUACUUGGUGUUACUGCGAAGGGGGGACGGAGAAGGCUAUGUUAGCCGGGCGACGGUUGUCCCGGUUUAAGCAUGUAGGCUGAUUGUCCAGGCAAAUCCGGAUAAUCAAGGCUGAGGUGUGAUGACGAGGCACUACGGUGCUGAAGUAACAAAUGCCCUGCUUCCAGGAAAAGCCUCUAAGCAUCAGGUAACAUCAAAUCGUACCCCAAACCGACACAGGUGGUCAGGUAGAGAAUACCAAGGCGCUUGAGAGAACUCGGGUGAAGGAACUAGGCAAAAUGGUGCCGUAACUUCGGGAGAAGGCACGCUGGUGUGUAGGUGAAGUCCCUGCGGAUGGAGCUGAGACCAGUCGAAGAUACCAGCUGGCUGCAACUGUUUAUUAAAAACACAGCACUGUGCAAACACGAAAGUGGACGUAUACGGUGUGACGCCUGCCCGGUGCCGGAAGGUUAAUUGAUGGGGUUAUCCGUAAGGAGAAGCUCUUGAUCGAAGCCCCGGUAAACGGCGGCCGUAACUAUAACGGUCCUAAGGUAGCGAAAUUCCUUGUCGGGUAAGUUCCGACCUGCACGAAUGGCGUAAUGAUGGCCAGGCUGUCUCCACCCGAGACUCAGUGAAAUUGAACUCGCUGUGAAGAUGCAGUGUACCCGCGGCAAGACGGAAAGACCCCGUGAACCUUUACUAUAGCUUGACACUGAACAUUGAGCCUUGAUGUGUAGGAUAGGUGGGAGGCUUUGAAGCGUGGACGCCAGUCUGCGUGGAGCCAACCUUGAAAUACCACCCUUUAAUGUUUGAUGUUCUAACGUUGGCCCCUUACCGGGGUUGCGGACAGUGUCUGGUGGGUAGUUUGACUGGGGCGGUCUCCUCCCAAAGCGUAACGGAGGAGCACGAAGGUUAGCUAAUCCUGGUCGGACAUCAGGAGGUUAGUGCAAUGGCAUAAGCUAGCUUGACUGCGAGCGUGACGGCGCGAGCAGGUGCGAAAGCAGGUCAUAGUGAUCCGGUGGUUCUGAAUGGAAGGGCCAUCGCUCAACGGAUAAAAGGUACUCCGGGGAUAACAGGCUGAUACCGCCCAAGAGUUCAUAUCGACGGCGGUGUUUGGCACCUCGAUGUCGGCUCAUCACAUCCUGGGGCUGAAGUAGGUCCCAAGGGUAUGGCUGUUCGCCAUUUAAAGUGGUACGCGAGCUGGGUUUAGAACGUCGUGAGACAGUUCGGUCCCUAUCUGCCGUGGGCGCUGGAGAAUUGAGGGGGGCUGCUCCUAGUACGAGAGGACCGGAGUGGACGCAUCACUGGUGUUCGGGUUGUCAUGCCAAUGGCACUGCCCGGUAGCUAAAUGCGGAAGAGAUAAGUGCUGAAAGCAUCUAAGCACGAAACUUGCCCCGAGAUGAGUUCUCCCUGAGACUUUAAGUCUCCUGAAGGAACGUU